GGUGAGCUGUCCGAGUGGCCGAAGGAGCACGCCUGGAAAGUGUGUAUGUCGAAAGGCAUCAAGAGUUCGAAUCUCUUGCUCACCGCCA
Molecule: transfer RNA, 88 nt
Filed under: Marinomonas mediterranea
Lineage: Bacteria; Pseudomonadati; Pseudomonadota; Gammaproteobacteria; Oceanospirillales; Oceanospirillaceae
Also listed under: 15 other names
Description: tRNA-Ser
Rfam family: tRNA
About the family: Transfer RNA (tRNA) molecules are approximately 80 nucleotides in length.
Source: RNAcentral